Molecule: ribosomal RNA, 276 nt
Filed under: uncultured prokaryote
Description: partial 16S ribosomal RNA
Rfam family: Bacterial small subunit ribosomal RNA
Source: RNAcentral
UACGUAGGGGCAAGCGUUAUCCGGAUUUACUGGGUGUAAAGGGAGCGCAGACGGCAGUGCAAGUCUGAUGUGAAAGCCCGGGGCUCAACCCCGGAACUGCAUUGGAAACUGUACAGCUUGAGUGUCGGAGAGGUAAGCGGAAUUCCUAGUGUAGCGGUGAAAUGCGUAGAUAUUAGGAGGAACACCGGUGGCGAAGGCGGCUUACUGGACGAUGACUGACGUUGAGGCUCGAAAGCGUGGGGAGCAAACAGGAUUAGAUACCCCGGUAGUCCCUGA